Long non-coding RNA from Juglans regia (Persian walnut), 1569 nucleotides. RefSeq lists it as uncharacterized. The transcript is spliced from 5 exons. The record is from RefSeq and is a predicted model, not a curated record. Lineage: Eukaryota; Viridiplantae; Streptophyta; Magnoliopsida; Fagales; Juglandaceae.
CCGUUAAUUUAUUGUCAUUUUAAUAGUGAUUUUUCGUCUUCCAUGGUUGAAACCAGACGCAGCUCCUCCUCUUCCAAACGUGCCCUCUCCUCCCCUCCUCCCACCACCGCCAAACAAUCCAAGGGGAAAAACUCAAAAGCAGUUUGCGCAAAGCAAGCAAAGCGACUAAGCAAUGGAGGAGGGGAAGCCAUUGUCAUCGCUAAAGACCAACAACGAACCCAAGAAUUUGUUUACGGUGCUCACCCCGAUCAACGACGACCUUCUCCAGGCUACCGGCUUUUUCCUUCGCAUCGGCGUCAUGCGUUAGCAAAUCCUGGAACCACCUCUGCAAUCGCAUACUCCUCUCUCACCCCAAGCUCGCCUCUGCUCUCUCUCUCAACCCCUCUCCCCGAAUUGUUGUAAAAGAGGUUCUUGAGAGGUGCUCUCCGAGCCCAUUUGGCCGCAUUUUGCUAUCGCAAACAUUGGUAGUGGAUUCAGUUUGAUUGAUGCUUUUCGGCUUGUAUGAAUUCUCAGCUUCAGCAAUAUCUUUAUCACUUAUUGUAUUUUCUUUUUCAUUAUUGUUUCUCAAACUCUGACUCUUUAGGUAAUAUAAUUUCGAAACUUUAGCUUUUGCAUGUGCUCUUGAGUGUGUUUGAAAUCUGGGUUUUUGUUUGAGUUGUGCAUUUAGGUGGUUUUAUUUUUUGUUCUGGGGUUGGUGGUGGAUUUAGGUGGAGCUGUCGUGGAUGUUGAUAAAUCAAAGGUGGUCGGCACUGCACUACGUUCGAAGAAGCAUCCUACAAAAAAGCUGCACUGACCAAAUCGAGUUCCAAAGCCGCUUGGGGAAAGCUUCUUUCCCAGUGCUCUCAGCAAUGUCCUCAUAUCCAGUUUCAAGUCAACCCCACGGUGCCUAUCCAUCUCAGCAAUUUACGGCAGGUGGUCCUUUUGGGAAUGCACUUGUGCCUCCUGUGCAUUCCCAAAAGGUAACAGAUAAUUAGGUGCAGAUGUGCAUUGGGAACUUGAUAAAAAAUUAGGUGCAGAUGUGCAUUGGUAACAGAUAAUUAGGAUGCAUGCUCCAAUCACAGAGCAUUGGGAACAUGCCUUGGGCCACAAAUCCACCUGUGCCUCCUGUUUCUUUGGCAGAGAAGACAAUAUAUGGUGCAGAUGCAGAGUAUGAGAAGUUCAUGGCAGAGAUGAAAUAAGUUAGCCCCUUUUCUGCAAAAAGUCAAAGAGGCUGAUGUUUCAUGGAGAUCUUGUGAACCUGAUUUCUUACCUCUUGCCAUGAUUUUGUUGGAAGUUGGGACUCACAUCUUUAACCUUGCUGUACUGUUAUGACAUUUGCAGAAACUUGGACGAAGUUCAGAUCGUGGAGUGUUGUAUUGGAGAAGCCUCUUUAAAGCAUGUUGUUAUGAUUAUUAUUAUUGUUAAUUUGCGUGCUCUCGUAGGACUCUUUUUGUGGUGGUUUCUUAUUACUUUCUAGAGAAUGUUUGUUUUUCCAUUUUUCUUUCUUUCUAUCAGCUAUUUGAACUUUUUGCAGUAUUAUGUCACUGAUUUUUUUUGUUAACAUUUUCAUUUGACUUUUUGGGUUCCUAA